Molecule: ribosomal RNA, 300 nt
Filed under: uncultured Vagococcus sp.
Lineage: Bacteria; Bacillati; Bacillota; Bacilli; Lactobacillales; Enterococcaceae
Description: bacterial SSU rRNA
Rfam family: Bacterial small subunit ribosomal RNA (bases 68-300)
Source: RNAcentral
GGCAGAGACGUGCCGCGAGGCGUGGAAAGGCGGAGGGUGGAGGCGUUGGCAGGGAGUAGUGGGGUGCAAGGACUGGUAGGGUGCUUGUCGCGUCGGUGGUGAAGACCGGGGGCUCAACCGCGGGCCUGCGGCGGAGAUGGGCAAGCUAGAGUGCGGUAGGGGAGAGUGGGAUUCCUGGUGUGGCGGUGAAAUGCGCAGAUAUAAGGGGGAACACCGGUGGCGAAGGCGGGUCUCUGGGCCGAUAUUGACGCUGAGGAGCGAAAGCGUGGGGAGCGAACAGGAUUAGAUACCCUGGUAGUC